GGCAAUAUGUGGUUUGUUGUCAUGGUGACUGUCAGCUGUGCGGCAGUCCCAGCCAAUCACGGUGGGAGACUAUCUAUAAAGGCGGGCGUAGAGCACCUGUCGGCCUCUUGCUUGCCGUAGGCUGGGUCACGUUGCGCCUGGGCGUCCAUUUCCGCUUCCGUGCGGUGACAGGCUCUUGCUUGCCGGAGGCUGGGUCACGUAGCUCCUGUGCGUCUAUUUCCGCUUCUGUGCAGUGAUAGGGCUCACUUGGAUGUUGCUGCUGGCUGCGCGCUGCUCAUCGAUACAUAGCCGAUGCCGCCUACUGAACUGUCGCUUUUGGAUAGCGUCCCGUUCCCUGCUCCACGCCACGUUGGCCGGGACUGCCCGAUUGGGUGGCCGACAGUAGCGGCGCAGCGGCGGCCAAUCCACCUAUAAAAACCACUGCUGCUUUGCCUCCACGUUAUUACCGCCUUGCCAGGGCCAGCUCGGACCCGAUCGCUUUGCCGUUCAUUCGGCUAGCGAUAGUUUGUUCCUUUUCCUGUUGUGUCGCUAUCUCUUUUGU
Gadus macrocephalus (Pacific cod) is the source of this 541-nucleotide long non-coding RNA. RefSeq lists it as uncharacterized. The record is from RefSeq and is a predicted model, not a curated record. Lineage: Eukaryota; Metazoa; Chordata; Actinopteri; Gadiformes; Gadidae. The transcript is spliced from 3 exons.